GUGACUGCGUACCUUUUGUAUAAUGGGUCAGCGACUUAUAUUCUGUAGCAAGGUUAACCGUAUAGGGGAGCCGGAGGGAAACCGAGUCUUAAUUGGGCGUUAAGUUGCAGGGUAUAGACCCGAAACCCGGUGAUCUAGCCAUGGGCAGGUUGAAGGUUGGGUAACACUAACUGGAGGACCGAACCGACUAAUGUUGAAAAAUUAGCGGAUGACCUGUGGCUGGGGGUGAAAGGCCAAUCAAACCGGGAGAUAGCUGGUUCUCCCCGAAAGCUAUUUAGGUAGCGCCUCGUGAAUUCAUCUCCGGGGGUAGAGCACUGUUUCGGCUAGGGGGCCAUCCCGGCUUACCAACCCGAUGCAAACUGCGAAUACCGGAGAAUGUUAUCACGGGAGACACACGGCGGGUGCUAACGUCCGUCGUGAAGAGGGAAACAACCCAGACCGCCAGCUAAGGUCCCAAAGUCAUGGUUAAGUGGGAAACGAUGUGGGAAGGCCCAGACAGCCAGGAUGUUGGCUUAGAAGCAGCCAUCAUUUAAAGAAAGCGUAAUAGCUCACUGGUCGAGUCGGCCUGCGCGGAAGAUGUAACGGGGCUAAACCAUGCACCGAAGCUGCGGCAGCGACACUCAGGUGUUGUUGGGUAGGGGAGCGUUCUGUAAGCCUGUGAAGGUGGCCUGUGAGGGUUGCUGGAGGUAUCAGAAGUGCGAAUGCUGACAUAAGUAACGAUAAAGCGGGUGAAAAGCCCGCUCGCCGGAAGACCAAGGGUUCCUGUCCAACGUUAAUCGGGGCAGG
Molecule: ribosomal RNA, 786 nt
Filed under: Salmonella enterica subsp. enterica serovar Oranienburg
Lineage: Bacteria; Pseudomonadati; Pseudomonadota; Gammaproteobacteria; Enterobacterales; Enterobacteriaceae
Description: bacterial LSU rRNA
Rfam family: Bacterial large subunit ribosomal RNA
Source: RNAcentral